RNAcentral lists this ribosomal RNA (508 nucleotides) under uncultured bacterium. RNAcentral describes it as "partial 16S ribosomal RNA". It matches the Rfam family "Bacterial small subunit ribosomal RNA", at positions 30 to 523 of the family's 1533-position model. The record is from RNAcentral.
AUUGAACGCUGGCGGCAUGCCUUACACAUGCAAGUCGAACGGCAGCGGGGGAGAAGCUUGCUUUUCCUGCCGGCGAGUGGCGAACGGGUGAGUAAUACAUCGGAACGUGCCCUGUAGUGGGGGAUAACUAGUCGAAAGAUUAGCUAAUACCGCAUACGACCUGAGGGUGAAAGUGGGGGACCGCAAGGCCUCAUGCUAUAGGAGCGGCCGAUGUCUGAUUAGCUGGUUGGUGGGGUAAAGGCCUACCAAGGCGACGAUCAGUAGCUGGUCUGAGAGGACGAUCGGCCACGCUGGGACGGAGACACGGCCCAGACUACUACGGGAGGCAGCAGUGGGGAACUUUGGACAAUGGGCGAAAGCCUGAUCCAGCAAUGCCGCGUGUGUGAAGAAGGCCUUCGGGUUGUAAAGCACUUUUGUCCGGAAAGAAAUGGCUCUGGUUAAUACCUGGGGUCGAUGACGGUACCGGAAGAAUAAGGACCGGCUAACUACGUGCCAGCCGCCGCCGUAA